CCUUUUCAAACUCCCCGACGGUAGAUGGCGCUGAUGGCUUGCUGCACCCCCAAGUUAGCGACAGGGGAAGAGAAACCCUGAAAGACAAUGAGAGAAACUACCACCUAAAGUCUGAUGAUGAAUCUGAGACUAGUCCAACGAAAAGGACUCCGUGUGGAUGAAGACUUUUUCUCAUCUGUUUGACCAAACAGUAGGCUGCCCCUAUCAACGGAUUUGGGCCUCCGCACAACCUACCAGAAUGCAGGGUACAACAUCAAAUGAAUUCCAAUUCUCUGAGAUCUGAGGCACCAGCUUGUGUGGCUGCAUGCGCGGCAUAAUUUUGAUCACUCCUGACAAAAUCUCACUCCAAGGUUUUUUGAAAAGUUGGCAGGUAUGUGAAGACCUUUUCUCGUUUGGCUCUCAUCGGAGGCGGUCGCAUUUUCACUCUCCCCGUCCUUGCCCAUAUCUUUCCUGCUGUGUCUCGUGUCUUGUCUCGUCUCAUCUAUUGAGAGACUCUCUCUGCACUGCUCUCGAAACUUGGAAAUUAUGGAUCUGAUCAACUGGUCACUUAGCGCAAUUGACACCAUUUUCUCGACGAGAAACAAAGGUUCGGGUGAACCUGAAUGCCCUGAUGGAACGUUCGCAGCUGGCUACACGAUGGACGCGUGGGAGAGAUGGCGGAUCGUGUGUCUGGCGGCUCUUUCUGUGGAGGACAUUGAAGAUAUCUACCUUUUCGGAACCAUGAUAACAGGUAUUAUGCUGAUUGGAUUAUGCUUUGCCCUGGGUUAUCGAAAAAUUCUUAAAACGGGAACAGCUGUCCAAAGCCUCACAAAGCUUCCCGUUUUGACGGAGGCCGUGGGAAGAGCGGUCAGCACUGAGACUGAGACUAUUAAUCGCAAUAUGGAUUACAUCUUGAAAAAGCUCACGGCUAUGGAAAGGAAAAUUGAUGAUUUUAGAGACCAGAAUGGACAAAGAGAGUAGCCGUGGAAUUGGAAUGCGGUUUACUCGCCUCAAGACGAAACAACUGCAAUCUUAUCUUUUCGGCCCCCCUUGAACCAGGAUUGGCCUUGGCCGAGGCGAUACUGGAGAAACAACCCUGAAGGGCAAUGUGGCGAGACGCUCUUGCGUUCCCUCCCCCAUCAUACACCCACACACAGACUUUUGGACCUUAUCGCUCAUACAGACACACACACAAACACUGACUCUGACCAAUUCCAAACCUCCGUAGCUUUGACCCGCCAGCUUGGCAAGCGGGUCUGUGUUAAGCGCCGUAAUGGCUGCAGGACCGGAUGGCUGCUUGCCUGAGCUGGAUUAUCUUACCCUGUUGCAAGUCUUGUCUAUGGUGUAUUAUGUGUAUCUGUUUUUCUCUCCACUUCCCUCAUGUUUGCUGUAUUCUUCUUCUUAAAUCCAUUUCGUUACACUGUACUUGUUAUAUGUGUAAUGACAAUAAAUUGAAUCCAAUCCAAUCCAAAGACAUUAUAUAAUGAGAUUUUUAAAAAAUGAUCGAACAGAUCCUCUCGUCUAAUGUCAGUGUCUAAGUCAGAAGUUGAUCUGAAAAACAGUUUUUUUAGCGCUAAGUGACGGUGAUUCUGGAAGUCGACCUCUACUGAGUGUCUGAAUCUAAAAAAGUUUUGUAACAAUCGAAACAAAAAGUCACUUUUGGUUCAAGCUGCAAUCCGUACCUGAGGUUCGUUGCUGUGAUU
Molecule: long non-coding RNA, 1682 nt
Organism: Triplophysa dalaica
Lineage: Eukaryota; Metazoa; Chordata; Actinopteri; Cypriniformes; Nemacheilidae
Exons: 3
Source: RefSeq, a predicted model, not a curated record